This 66-nucleotide transfer RNA is filed under the name Phrynobatrachus keniensis (Kenya river frog). RNAcentral's name for it is "tRNA-Ser". The record is from RNAcentral. Lineage: Eukaryota; Metazoa; Chordata; Amphibia; Anura; Phrynobatrachidae.
GAAGCUAGCUGGGAAUUGAGUACUGCUAAUUCCUCAAGAUUGUGGUUCGAAUCCACAAUAGCUUCG